GACGAACGCUGGCGGCGUGCCUAAUACAUGCAAGUAGAACGCUGAAGAGAGGAGCUUGCUCUUCUUGGAUGAGUUGCGAACGGGUGAGUAACGCGUAGGUAACCUGCCUGGUAGCGGGGGAUAACUAUGGGAAACGAUAGCUAAUACCGCAUAAAAUUGAUUAUUGCAUGAUAAUUAAUUGAAAGAUGCAACUGCAUCACUACCAGAUGGACCUUCGUUGUAUUAGCUAGUUGGUGAGGUAACGGCUCACCAAGGCGACGAUACAUAGCCGAACUGACAGGGUGAGCGGCCACACUGAGAGUGAGACACGGCCCAGAGUCCUACGGGAGGCAGCAGGAGGGAAUCUUCGGCAAUGGGGGGAACCCUGACCGAGAAACGCCGCGGGAGUGAAGAAGGUUUUCGGAUCGUAAAGCUCGGUUGUAAGAGAAGAACGGGUGUGAGAGUGGAAAGUUCACACUGUGACGGUAUCUUACCAGAAAGGGACGGCUAACUACGUG
Molecule: ribosomal RNA, 497 nt
Filed under: uncultured bacterium
Lineage: Bacteria
Description: partial 16S ribosomal RNA
Rfam family: Bacterial small subunit ribosomal RNA
Source: RNAcentral